This is a long non-coding RNA of Amblyraja radiata (thorny skate), 244 nucleotides long. RefSeq lists it as uncharacterized. The transcript is spliced from 2 exons. The record is from RefSeq and is a predicted model, not a curated record. Lineage: Eukaryota; Metazoa; Chordata; Chondrichthyes; Rajiformes; Rajidae.
CGGCUGCAACCGCGACCACCGCUCCGCCUCUGGCCAACAACCGCCAGGAGGAGGGUGCAAACGAGUUGCCGCAUGGUCAAGGAAGGACGCAAAGGUACAUCAAGAGGCAUGAGUAGCAGAAGGGAACAAGAGACGCAACAAGAAAUAAACACGCUGAGGAUAAAUAAGAAAGGACGUAAAACAGGGGAACAAGAGACGCAAAAAGAAACAACUAAACUGAAUAAAUCUCAUGUUUAAGGUUUAA